This 484-nucleotide ribosomal RNA is filed under the name uncultured bacterium. RNAcentral's name for it is "bacterial SSU rRNA". It matches the Rfam family "Bacterial small subunit ribosomal RNA", at positions 328 to 803 of the family's 1533-position model. The record is from RNAcentral.
GAAUUCAACUCCUACGGGAGGCAGCAGUAGGGAAUCUUCCGCAAUGGACGAAAGUCUGACGGAGCAACGCCGCGUGAGCGAAGAAGGUCUUCGGAUCGUAAAGCUCUGUUGUUAGGGAAGAACAAGUAUCGUUCGAAUAGGGCGGUACCUUGACGGUACCUAACCAGAAAGCCACGGCUAACUACGUGCCAGCAGCCGCGGUAAUACGUAGGUGGCAAGCGUUAUCCGGAAUUAUUGGGCGUAAAGCGCGCGCAGGCGGUCCUUUAAGUCUGAUGUGAAAGCCCACGGCUCAACCGUGGAGGGUCAUUGGAAACUGGGGGACUUGAGUGCAGAAGAGGAGAGCGGAAUUCCACGUGUAGCGGUGAAAUGCGUAGAGAUGUGGAGGAACACCAGUGGCGAAGGCGGCUCUCUGGUCUGUAACUGACGCUGAGGCGCGAAAGCGUGGGGAGCGAACAGGAUUAGAUACCCGAGUAGUCCAGGCGUU